UACGAAGGGGGCUAGCGUUGUUCGGAAUUACUGGGCGUAAAGCGCACGUAGGCGGAUUGCUAAGUCAGGGGUGAAAUCCUGGAGCUCAACUCCAGAACUGCCUUUGAUACUGGCGAUCUCGAGUCCGGGAGAGGUGAGUGGAACUGCGAGUGUAGAGGUGAAAUUCGUAGAUAUUCGCAAGAACACCAGUGGCGAAGGCGGCUCACUGGCCCGGUACUGACGCUGAGGUGCGAAAGCGUGGGGAGCAAACAGG
This 253-nucleotide ribosomal RNA is filed under the name uncultured bacterium. RNAcentral describes it as "partial 16S ribosomal RNA". It matches the Rfam family "Bacterial small subunit ribosomal RNA", at positions 524 to 776 of the family's 1533-position model. The record is from RNAcentral.